CUGAGCAGACACGCACGACUCCAACACAUCAUAAAGUUUGCUUAUGACACGACGGUGGUAGGCCUGAUCACCAACGGCGAUGAGACAGCCUUCAGGGAGGACGUCAGAGACUUGGGAGUGUUGUGGGACAACAACCUCUCCCUCAAUAUCGAUCUAUCGCUGCCUUUGACACCGUGGACCACCAGAUCCUCUUCUCCACCCUCUCAGAGCUGGGCGUCUAGGGCGCUGCACACUCUUGGAUUGCAUCCUACCCGACAGGCCGCUCCUACCAGGUGGUGACAUGCAUAUCUCAGCUUGGGUGUCAGCCCACCACCUCAAGCUCAACCUCGACAAGACGGAACUACUCUUCCUCCCGGGAAAGGCCUGCCAGCUCAAAGCCCUCUCCAUCCCAGUUGACAACUCCACACUGUCACCCUCCCAAAGUGCAAAGAACCUUGGCGUGACCCAGGACAACACCCUGUCGUUCUCUGCAAACAUCAAAGCAGUGACCCGCUACUGCAGGUUGCUCUACAACAUCCGUAGAGUACAACCCUACCUCACACAGGAAGUGGCGCAGGUCCCAAUCCAUUAAAAAAAAACAUUUAAAAGGACUAUGUGGGUUACGUGCCCCUGUGCCCCCUAUGGCCAUGAAGCCUCUCUCACUCACUACAUGAGCUUGUGUGACUUUGCUAACACAAUCAACAGUAUGUUAAUUAAGAGACCUUCCUUGUCCAUCAGUGUUCAGUUUAUUUGAAGCAUUACUUAAUGAGGUCAAGAUCAACAAGACUACAUUCUCUGUCACAUAAGAAGUCAGUUUGUGCUUACAGUUUGUUUGUUUACAGCACUGUUAUAGACACAUGAUACCCAUGAGGUACAGUCUAUUUUUAAAUGGAGCCUUAUGUGUGAAGCUGACACCAACAGCCACUGAGAGUGAUAAGACAUUGAGGAAGACUAGAGCUCUGAAAUGUCUGAGUUUGUAUGUGAAAAGCAGCGAAAACAUGAGUUGGAGAGAAAGGGUUUCCUCUGUACUAUUCUUUAUCUGCAGCUAGUGUUUGUUGAGUAAAGGUGCUGUACGGUCAUGCAGGGACAAGAGCCUUCCAAUCUAGAGACUGUUAUGCCUCAUGGUCGUGGGAGGAUUUGUAGGACAUUCUGUUCUAUGACACAUUCUCUCUCUCUCUUGUUUAACUAAUCUUGUGGGGGGACACAAUUAAUCCCCAUUCCAAAUCCUAGUUUCCCUAACUCUAAAUCGAACCCUAAACCUAACCUUUAAUCCCUAAUUCGUUACCUUAACCACAAACGCCCUAGAAAUAGCCUUUUUCCAUGUGGGGACUAACAAAAUGGCCCCAGUUGGACAAAUGUGUGUUUGUUUACUAGUCUUAUAGUUAAAGUAUAGUUAAACACGUCCAUACACACAGACACACACACAUUUAUAAUGUUGAGAAAGUCACAAAUGUGUAGCAAUGAUAAUUGAACACUUUAAAAACAUUUUUGGCUCCAGUACAUUAUGGAUCUAGGAAAGGCAUUACAGCUAAGAGCCAGAGCAACAGCCUUUGAUUAAUAACCUGUUUUCUAUGCAGGACACUGAUACUUAUGCGGCCUCUUUGUUCUUAAAUGUAUUCAGUUCAAAUACAGUAGAGCAUAAUCUCUCAUUCAUAUGAAUGGAGUGUUGUCCCCAUGGAGCUCCAGAAUACAUUGAAUGGGAAACAUUGUGGGUGCUUCAUGAAUGGUGAGCUGUUUGGGUAACAAAGUUGACCAUGGGGGAGUGGUUGCUGCUUACUUUGUGAGUAAGGAGUGAGAGAAACGUAAGACUAAUUCAAUCUAUACGGUUUGUUUGGAUGUAUUUGUAAUAGCAAAACAGAACUGGUAUUUUGUGGUUUUCGUGAUGUUGUGCGAUUGACUGACAACGUCUUGUCUAGGGGAAAUGAGUAAGGGGAAAAGGUUAUGCUACUCUAGGUGUUUUUCCUCUUCUUACCCAAUACACUCUCCCUCUCCCAUCCUCACCAUUUACAAACCUUCUUAUGCUAGUCUUGCUUGCCAGCGAAUGGCACUUGAUAAAUACUAGCCUUACCUUUGCAACACAAAGAACAAACAUGUAUUGUAAUGUUGUACAAGAAAGCACCUGAGAGUAGAUAGGAUUAGAUCUUAUCGUCAAGUAGGGUACUAAGUAACUCGUAAACCUAUUGUAUAGCAAGAUCAAUAACACCUUGGUAACAGGACCCCUAUUUUUUGAAUACUUUUCCCCUAUCAUCACACAUUCAUAGGCUGAUAAUAGGCUUCCAUGACUACGAUAGGCAUUGUCCAGUCAGGCCUACUUUCAGCAGCGCUGUGAUGAUUGCUUGUCACAGGGUAUUGUUUCUGCUUGUUCAGCUACAUGACUAAUCACUAAGAACACAAGAGAGCACACGCUGUCUUCCUGCUCUUCUACCAUGUCAUAGUUCCUCUUACUUGAUUAGAAAAGGUUUUCCUCUUUUACCUUCCCAAACGCGGUUCUGUAUGACCACAACCCCCAUCACCUAGGCCCCAGGAUGACGCGGCAUGGGUUCGGUCAGCUGAUGGAGCAGAGUGAUGUAUGUGUCAUAUUGUGUAAUUUACAAUCACAUGCCAAGCAUUGUCAAGACAAGAAACAUCCACUUUUAGUCAUCAGUUUCACUUCUUUAAAAAUAUAUAUUUUUAGUUUGUUUAACUUUCCUGAACAAAAUUGCUGUAAAUGUACAACAUAAAACAAUUAAACAAAUGUACAUGAUUGACAACA
Oncorhynchus kisutch (coho salmon) is the source of this 2731-nucleotide long non-coding RNA. RefSeq lists it as uncharacterized. The record is from RefSeq and is a predicted model, not a curated record. The transcript is spliced from 3 exons. NCBI's taxonomy places the organism in Eukaryota, Metazoa, Chordata, Actinopteri, Salmoniformes, Salmonidae.